This 254-nucleotide ribosomal RNA is filed under the name uncultured bacterium. Its description in RNAcentral is "partial 16S ribosomal RNA". It matches the Rfam family "Bacterial small subunit ribosomal RNA", at positions 524 to 776 of the family's 1533-position model. The record is from RNAcentral.
UACGGGGGGAGCAAGCGUUGUUCGGAUUUACUGGGCGUAAAGGGCGCGUAGGCGGCCAGAGCAAGUCAGUUGUGAAAUCUCCGAGCUUAACUCGGAAAGGUCAACUGAUACUGCUCGGCUAGAGUGCGGAAGGGGCAACUGGAAUUCUUGGUGUAGCGGUGAAAUGCGUAGAUAUCAAGAGGAACACCUGCGGCGAAGGCGGGUUGCUGGGCCGAUACUGACGCUGAAGCGCGAAAGCUAGGGGAGCGAACGGG